Molecule: ribosomal RNA, 468 nt
Filed under: uncultured bacterium
Lineage: Bacteria
Description: partial 16S ribosomal RNA
Rfam family: Bacterial small subunit ribosomal RNA
Source: RNAcentral
GACGAACGCUGGCGGCGUGCUUAACACAUGCAAGUCGAACGGAAAGGCCCUGCUUUUGUGGGGUGCUCGAGUGGCGAACGGGUGAGUAACACGUGAGUAACCUGCCCUUGACUUUGGGAUAACUUCAGGAAACUAAGCCUAAUACCGGAUAGGAGCUCCUGCAGCAUGGUGGGGGUUGGAAAGUUUCGGCGGGUGGGGAUGGACUCGCGGCUUAUCAGCUUGUUGGUGGGGUAGUGGCUUACCAAGGCUUUGACGGGUAGCCGGCCGGAGAGGGUGACCGGCCACAUUGGGACUGCGAUACGGCCCAGACGGAUACGGUAGGCAGCAGUGGGGAAUAUUGCCCAACGGGCGGAAGCCUGAUGCAGCAACGCCGCGGGCGGGAUGACGGCCUUCGGGUUGUAAAACGCUUUCGCCUGUGACGAAGCGUGAGUGACGGUAAUGGGUAAAGAAGCACCGGCUAACUACGUG